Molecule: non-coding RNA, 470 nt
Filed under: Pongo abelii (Sumatran orangutan)
Lineage: Eukaryota; Metazoa; Chordata; Mammalia; Primates; Hominidae
Source: RNAcentral
UGUCAACCGCAGAGAGAUCUCCCUAAAAUGAACUAACCAAACCAGAGGCCAGAGUUACAAGAGAAUCUGUAAGAGGGUCCUCCUCCUCUAAAGAGAGGUAGUCCUAGAAUAGAAGCAAUCAAGGAAAGAAGUGGUAAAAGAAGAUACAAACUUUUAGUAAAGGGGAAUGACCGGGUGAAGUACAAAUGCCAUCUAUCCAAGCCUGGCUCACGUUGCAAGUCGCACCAGCAGCAGAUAAUGUUAUGAUGCUCCUCCCCACCCAACUCUCCCAGAAUUGAUACCUGAGGUAGCUCAGGUGAAGUCCGGGGCUCCUGUGGGUCUCCACCUCCACAUCACUGCUGGGUUCUGAGCAGGAAGAAAAACAGAGACUUGGGUGGAAGAAGGAGUAAGAGUGGAGGACUAUGGGGUGGUUGUCACAGGAAAGAAAUCUGACAAAACGGCAAAGCUUCGGGAACGUCAGGAUUUCCUCA